This 336-nucleotide ribosomal RNA is filed under the name Triticum aestivum (bread wheat). RNAcentral's name for it is "partial small subunit ribosomal RNA". Lineage: Eukaryota; Viridiplantae; Streptophyta; Magnoliopsida; Poales; Poaceae. The record is from RNAcentral.
AUGCCCGGUGUGCUGGAGGCUCUUUCAGGGGCUGUUGCUACUAGGCUGGCUGCUCAAGAGACAACAAAUGGUAAUGUGGCGUUUACUUUUAAUGCUGGGAAAAAUUUGAUGCAGGGCAAGCAAAAGAGGAAGGGGAGCAAAGGAAAAAAUGUGGGAGUUUCUAAGAGAGCAGAGAACGCACGUAAGGUAACUAUAGGUAAAAAGAGGAGAAUCCCAUUGAUACGUCUUCAACGUAUCUAUAAUUUUUUAUUGUUCCAUGCUAUAUUAUAUUCUGUUUUUGGACAUUAUUGGGCUUUAUUAUACACUUUUAUAUUAUUUUUGGGACUAACCUAUUAA